AGAGUUUGAUCAUGGCUCAGAUUGAACGCUGGCGGUAGGCUUAACACAUGCAAGUCGUGCGAGAAAGUAUCUUCGGAUAUGAGUAAAGCGGCGGACGUGUGAGUAACGCGUAGGAAUCUACCUAGUAGAAGGGGAUAGCCCGGGGAAACUCGGAUUAAUACCGUAUACCUCCUUUGGGAGAAAGAGGGCCUCUCUUUGAAGCUUUCGCUAUUAGAUGAGCCUGCGUAAGAUUAGCUUGUUGGUGGGGUAAAGGCUCACCAAGGCGACGAUCUUUAGCGGGUCUGAGAGGACGAUCCGCCACAUUGGGACUGAGACACGGCCCAGACUCCUACGGGAGGCAGCAGUGGGGAAUAUUGGACAAUGGGCGCAAGCCUGAUCCAGCCAUACCGCGUGUGUGAAGAAGGCCCUAGGGUUGUAAAGCACUUUAAGUUGGGAAGAAAAGUUAUUGGUUAAUACCCAAUAACCGUGACAUUACCAUCAGAAUAAGGACCGGCUAAUUCCGUGCCAGCAGCCGCGGUAAUACGGAAGGUCCAAGCGUUAAUCGGAAUUACUGGGCGUAAAGCGCGCGUAGGUGGUUUAUUAAGUUGGAUGUGAAAUCCCCGGGCUCAACCUGGGAACUGCAUCCAAAACUGAUUCACUAGAGUACGAUAGAGGGAGGUAGAAUUCACAGUGUAGCGGUGGAAUGCGUAGAUAUUGUGAAGAAUACCAAUGGCGAAGGCAGCCUCCUGGAUCUGUACUGACACUGAGGUGCGAAAGCGUGGGUAGCGAACAGGAUUAGAUACCCUGGUAGUCCACGCCGUAAACGAUGUCAACUAGCUGUUGGAAAACUAUGUUUUU
RNAcentral lists this ribosomal RNA (837 nucleotides) under marine metagenome. Its description in RNAcentral is "bacterial SSU rRNA". It matches the Rfam family "Bacterial small subunit ribosomal RNA", at positions 8 to 840 of the family's 1533-position model. The record is from RNAcentral.